GCCUCCAUCUAUAUAGAUACAUGUAUACAAUAUAUAUCCAUACACAGAGAAGUACUCCAUGAUUUCUUCCCUUCUCUUAAACACAGUUAGCCGACCCACUAUUCUUUUUCUCUCUUUCGGACCAACCCUUGGUGUGGACGUACGGUGGAGAUUUAUAAAGAAGUUGUCGAUGAUGAUUAGCAGAUGAGGAUGAGUGGUAUGGAUGGAUAUGAUGGGUAUUGACUGUGAGAUGAUGAUGGUAUGAUCAGGUUCUCUAUCAAGGGGAUUAGAUCAAGUGUAUAAAGUUUUGACCUCGAUGGUGAACAUGGAUAAAGGAAUUUGAGAUGAAUUCAAGUUGAGCAGGAAUUAAAUUGACUCAUUGGAGAUUUGAUAUUUUGAGAGUAAAUGAUUGUAAUGUUAUUUGCAGUUUAUGUAUUAAGUUGAAUUUGGAUUAUUCAAUUUAAGUUGUAUUAUUAGCCUUAGCGUUUGGGUAUAAGAGAGAUACUUGAGCGUGACGGUAACACCCAUUUAUGUUGGUUAGUUAAUGCUUCCGCUAUGUAAUUAGUG
Ipomoea nil (Japanese morning glory) is the source of this 546-nucleotide long non-coding RNA. RefSeq lists it as uncharacterized. The record is from RefSeq and is a predicted model, not a curated record. Lineage: Eukaryota; Viridiplantae; Streptophyta; Magnoliopsida; Solanales; Convolvulaceae. The transcript is spliced from 3 exons.